AGAUCGCUACUCACCGUACUAGACGUAUAAGAGUGACCGUGCAAUCUCAUGUGUAUUGCAAUUGUGAAGAGAUGGGUCGGAGAGUAAAAAUGGAACAAAUAUACUCGGCUGAGAUCUGCAGCUGCUUAAUCUAUCGUUGGUCAUCAUCCUCUGUGCUGGGACUCUCUUGUGUAUAGAUCACUACUCACUGUAUACUAGAGGUAUAAGAGUGACCGUGCAAUCUGAUGUGUAUUGCAAUUGUGAAGAGAUGGGUCGGAGAGUAAAAAUGGAACAAGUAUACUCGGCUGAGAUCUGCAGCUGCUUAAUCUCUCGAUGGUCAUCAUCCUCUGUGCUGGGACUCUCUUGUGUAUAGAAGUGGUGACCGUGCAAUCUGAUAUGUUAUCGCAAUUGUGAAGAGAUGGGUCGGAGAGUAAAAAUGGAACAAGUAUACUCGACUGAGAUCUGUAGCUGCUUUAUCUCUCGAUGGUCAUCAUCCUCUGUGCUGGGACUCUCUUGUGUAUAGUUACGCAUUGAAAGUGAUUCAACAAGGAGACUCACUCCCUACACAGAGUGGUGUGUACACAAUAACAAGCACCAUGGAAACGAUACAAGAUCUAAAGACAAAGAGGAUGUUGAAGGUAGCAUUUGACUAAAUGGAGUGAACUUUAUUGUACACUGAUCCGGAACUUUUAUCUCUUAUUGUGAGAGCUGCUGUGAUGAAAGUCAUAGAUAUUCAUAAUGACUCUGACAGUUGUAUCAUUGGUUCCCGUCAUGCAUGCAUGCACACUGCAGGUCAGUGGUGGUCUGCACUAACCACCUCUAGACAUCAUCUUGUUUACUACUAGUAUAUGCAUAUCAUGGUAGGCUAUA
Halichondria panicea is the source of this 849-nucleotide long non-coding RNA. RefSeq lists it as uncharacterized. The record is from RefSeq and is a predicted model, not a curated record. The transcript has 5 exons. NCBI's taxonomy places the organism in Eukaryota, Metazoa, Porifera, Demospongiae, Suberitida, Halichondriidae.